RNAcentral lists this ribosomal RNA (491 nucleotides) under uncultured bacterium. Its description in RNAcentral is "partial 16S ribosomal RNA". It matches the Rfam family "Bacterial small subunit ribosomal RNA", at positions 29 to 507 of the family's 1533-position model. The record is from RNAcentral.
AGUGAACGCUGGCGGUAGGCCUAACACAUGCAAGUCGAACGGCAGCACAGUAAGAGCUUGCUCUUACGGGUGGCGAGUGGCGGACGGGUGAGGAAUACAUCGGAAUCUACUUUUUCGUGGGGGAUAACGUAGGGAAACUUACGCUAAUACCGCAUACGACCUACGGGUGAAAGCAGGGGAUCUUCGGACCUUGCGCGAUUGAAUGAGCCGAUGUCGGAUUAGCUAGUUGGCGGGGUAAAGGCCCACCAAGGCGACGAUCCGUAGCUGGUCUGAGAGGAUGAUCAGCCACACUGGAACUGAGACACGGUCCAGACUCCUACGGGAGGCAGCAGUGGGGAAUAUUGGACAAUGGGCGCAAGCCUGAUCCAGCCAUACCGCGUGGGUGAAGAAGGCCUUCGGGUUGUAAAGCCCUUUUGUUGGGAAAGAAAAGCAGCAGGUUAAUACCCCGCUGUUCUGACGGUACCCAAAGAAUAAGCACUGCUAACUUCGUG